RNAcentral lists this ribosomal RNA (473 nucleotides) under uncultured bacterium. RNAcentral describes it as "bacterial SSU rRNA". It matches the Rfam family "Bacterial small subunit ribosomal RNA", at positions 355 to 825 of the family's 1533-position model. The record is from RNAcentral.
UGGGGAAUAUUGCGCAAUGGGCGAAAGCCUGACGCAGCAACGCCGCGUGAGUGGUGAAGGCCUUCGGGUCGUAAAGCUCUGUCGGAGGGAACGAAUGCUCUUGGAGUUAACAGCUUCAGGAGGUGACGGUACCCUCAAAGGAAGCACCGGCUAACUCUGUGCCAGCAGCCGCGGUAAUACGAAGGGAGCUAGCGUUGUUCGGAAUCACUGGGCGUAAAGCGCACGUAGGCGGAUAGUUAAGUCAGGGGUGAAAUCCUGGGGCUCAACCCCAGAACUGCCUUUGAUACUGGCUGUCUCGAGGUCGAGAGAGGUUGGUGGAAUUCCUAGUGUAGAGGUGAAAUUCGUAGAUAUUAGGAAGAACACCAGUGGCGAAGGCGGCCAACUGGCUCGAUACUGACGCUGAGGUGCGAAAGCGUGGGGAGCAAACAGGAUUAGAUACCCAUGUAGUCCCUGAGCGGGCUGGCAAGGCGCAU